UAUGUAGGGAGCGAGCGUUGUCCGGAAUCAUUGGGCGUAAAGAGCAUGUAGGUGGAUCAAUUAGUCUGCUGUGAAAGUCAAAGGCUCAACCUUUGAAAGCCGGUGGAUACUGUUGAUCUAGAGUACGGAAGAGGCGAGUGGAAUUCCUGGUGUAGCGGUGGAAUGCGCAGAUAUCAGGAGGAACACCAAUAGCGAAGGCAGCUCGCUGGGACGUUACUGACACUGAGAAUGCGAAAGCGUGGGGAGCAAACAGG
RNAcentral lists this ribosomal RNA (254 nucleotides) under uncultured bacterium. RNAcentral describes it as "partial 16S ribosomal RNA". It matches the Rfam family "Bacterial small subunit ribosomal RNA", at positions 524 to 776 of the family's 1533-position model. The record is from RNAcentral.